Long non-coding RNA from Lutra lutra (Eurasian river otter), 435 nucleotides. RefSeq lists it as uncharacterized. The record is from RefSeq and is a predicted model, not a curated record. NCBI's taxonomy places the organism in Eukaryota, Metazoa, Chordata, Mammalia, Carnivora, Mustelidae. The transcript is spliced from 3 exons.
GGCUCUUUCUGCGUCCCGGAUCACUUUCAAGUUACCUGCCCGUGCACCCGGCCCAUGAGGGGAGAGAAGGAGCUCAGCUUCUAGCACCAUGAUUAGCGCGUUGCCCGGGGACACGCCGGUGACCCGAACCACAGGGCCCCCAGAUGCAAAUACCCCUGGGGGUAAGCAACAGAAUCUCACCAAGAAUAAUUUCAUUCAGUCUUUUCUGUAAAGCAGACUGAGCAAAGAAACCAUGAGCCAGCUGUGAAGUCCUGGCCAUUCCAGCUGCGUGGAGACUGCUGAAAAUCCUACUGCGGUCCUUUUCCUCUCUUCCUUCUCCAGUUCACUUUUCUUCCUCAACAACACACCUGCCACUUUUCCUUUCUUCUUGAGUCACCUCCUCGGCCCCACAGUUGUCACUCCCACCUCCUGUUCUUCCUUAGCCCUUUCCCCCUG